GACGAACGCUGGCGGCGUGCUUAACACAUGCAAGUCGAACGGAAAGGCCCUGCUUGCAGGGUACUCGAGUGGCGAACGGGUGAGUAACACGUGGGUGAUCUGCCCUGCACUUCGGGAUAAGCCUGGGAAACUGGGUCUAAUACCGGAUAGGAGCCAUUUUUAGUGUGAUGGUUGGAAAGUUUUUUCGGUGUAGGAUGAGCUCGCGGCCUAUCAGCUUGUUGGUGGGGUAAUGGCCUACCAAGGCGGCGACGGGUAGCCGGCCUGAGAGGGUGGACGGCCACAUUGGGACUGAGAUACGGCCCAGACUCCUACGGGAGGCGGCAGUGGGGAAUAUUGCACAAUGGGCGCAAGCCUGAUGCAGCGACGCCGCGUGGGGGAUGACGGCCUUCGGGUUGUAAACUCCUUUCGCUAGGGACGAAGCUUUUGUGACGGUACCUAGAGAAGAAGCACCGGCUAACUACGUG
Molecule: ribosomal RNA, 464 nt
Filed under: uncultured bacterium
Lineage: Bacteria
Description: partial 16S ribosomal RNA
Rfam family: Bacterial small subunit ribosomal RNA
Source: RNAcentral